RNAcentral lists this long non-coding RNA (277 nucleotides) under Vigna radiata. Its description in RNAcentral is "long non-coding RNA (VRAD_LNC017537)". The record is from RNAcentral. Lineage: Eukaryota; Viridiplantae; Streptophyta; Magnoliopsida; Fabales; Fabaceae.
UUUGUAAUUUCCUAUACUAAUCCAAAGUGCUGCAAAACUCCCAAUCUUCGCAAGUUUUCAGCAUCUAGAAUCCAGUCACAUAUGUACUUCUUUCUAAACGCAGCCAAUUCCUCCUACAAUGAACAUUAAUAUUACUUUAGGCCAAAUUGUUAUAAUAUAGACUUAAAUUUAGAAAUUCAUCAGUCAACAUACAUUACUAUAAUCAGGCAUGCUUUUGCCAUCAUAUUUGUCCUCUCCAUCCCAUAUUUCCAAGGCUUUCAUCAUGAUUACUCCACAG